GGUACACGAGCGGCGAACGGGUGAGUAACACGUGAGUAAUCUGCCCUUCACUUCGGGAUAAGCCUCGGAAACGGGGUCUAAUACCGGAUACGACACUCCUUCGCAUGAGGUGGGUGUGGAAAGUUUUUCGGUGGGGGAUGUGCUCGCGGCCUAUCAGCUUGUUGGUGGGGUAAUGGCCUACCAAGGCUUCGACGGGUAGCCGGCCUGAGAGGGUGACCGGCCACACUGGGACUGAGACACGGCCCAGACUCCUACGGGAGGCAGCAGUGGGGAAUAUUGGACAAUGGGCGGAAGCCUGAUCCAGCAACGCCGCGUGAGGGAUGACGGCCUUCGGGUUGUAAACCUCUUUCAGUACCGACGAAGCGAAAGUGACGGUAGGUACAGAAGAAGCACCGGCCAACUACGUGCCAGCAGCCGCGGUAAUACGUAGGGUGCGAGCGUUGUCCGGAAUUAUUGGGCGUAAAGGGCUCGUAGGCGGUUUGUCACGUCGGGAGUGAAAACACUGGGCUUAACUCAGUGCUUGCUUUCGAUACGGGCAGACUAGAGGCAUGCAGGGGAGAACGGAAUUCCUGGUGUAGCGGUGAAAUGCGCAGAUAUCAGGAGGAACACCGGUGGCGAAGGCGGUUCUCUGGGCAUGUCCUGACGCUGAGGAGCGAAAGUGUGGGGAGC
RNAcentral lists this ribosomal RNA (669 nucleotides) under uncultured Actinomycetes bacterium. RNAcentral's name for it is "bacterial SSU rRNA". It matches the Rfam family "Bacterial small subunit ribosomal RNA", at positions 86 to 769 of the family's 1533-position model. The record is from RNAcentral. Lineage: Bacteria; Bacillati; Actinomycetota; Actinomycetes.